This 227-nucleotide ribosomal RNA is filed under the name uncultured bacterium. RNAcentral describes it as "partial 16S ribosomal RNA". It matches the Rfam family "Bacterial small subunit ribosomal RNA", at positions 15 to 225 of the family's 1533-position model. The record is from RNAcentral.
GAUCAUGGCUCGGGACGAACGCUGGCGGCGUGCUUAACACAUGCAAGUCGAACGAGAAUCUGUGGAAAGAGGAUUCGUCCAAUUGAAGCAGAGGACAGUGGCGGACGGGUGAGUAACGCGUGAGGAACCUGCCUUUCAGAGGGGGACAACAGUUGGAAACGACUGCUAAUACCGCAUGACAUAUAGAUGUCGCAUGGCAUUUAUAUCAAAGAUUUAUCGCUGAAAGA